This 335-nucleotide long non-coding RNA is filed under the name Rosa chinensis. Its description in RNAcentral is "sRNA RchiOBHm_Chr5g0028561". The record is from RNAcentral. Lineage: Eukaryota; Viridiplantae; Streptophyta; Magnoliopsida; Rosales; Rosaceae.
AGUAAUUUGUCAAUUGCUUGGUCAGGUAUGUCAAGUCCUAACUAAUAUACCAGCACAUAUUUGAUUUUAAAAAGGGUUGCUUCUUGUGUCAGGCUUUUUCUUGAUGCGUACUUCGGUACUUGCAUGCUAAAGCUAGCAUGCUUGACACUCUUCUGAACUGUUACUAAUUCCUUAUGCCUUACAAUAUCUCAAAUUGACUGGUAGAGGCGAUGAAACUAUAAGUGGUAGGGGAAGUAGGAAGUCAAAAAAGAAUUCACCAAGUUGUAAAGCUUUGUUGCUUGAUUGUUUUGGAGUGGAUAGGUUGUCUCUAACUUGUUUAUUUCGAUUGUUGUCUC